UGGCUUUGGCAAAGGUGAAAUUACCUCCACUUUCCUUCCACUUUUCUUUUGCAGCCUCUCAAACACCUUUAGAGGGUCUGCUGCUUUGCCUUUCACCACCACCUUAUUAUCUUUGCUAUCUGUGUUUACCUCCUCCACUCCUUCAAAUCCUUUCAAGGAUCGAGCAACUUUUCUUGCACAAGCUUCACAAUGCAUGACAACCUUAAGUACUAUCUCAGGAGUCUCUUCCUCUUUCUUCUCUUCUUCAUUCUUCUUAUUUUCCUCCUCCUUCAAUUCUUCUUUCUUUUCUUCACCCAUUUCUGCAGCUGAAGAGCUGUACUGAGAAAUGUAUUUGGUUUUCAGAGCUUUGUUCUGGUGAGGCUUGGUGGAUGAAGAUUUAUGCAGAGUGGAGGCUUCUGGAAGUGUGACGUGGAUUUGCACAAGAGUGAAUCGUAAUUUUAAGAGAAAAUUGCUUUUAUCGUAGUUUAAUUGGUUUUUCAAAAAGGGUAGAAAGUCUCGAGUUCUCCAUCAUCUAUUUUUUC
Molecule: unclassified non-coding RNA, 521 nt
Filed under: Hevea brasiliensis (rubber tree)
Lineage: Eukaryota; Viridiplantae; Streptophyta; Magnoliopsida; Malpighiales; Euphorbiaceae
Source: RNAcentral